CCUCGUGGCUGCAGUGGGGAAUAUUGGACAAUGGGCGAAAGCCUGAUCCAGCCAUGCCGCGUGUGUGAAGAAGGCCUUCGGGUUGUAAAGCACUUUCAGUGGGGAAGAAAGCCUUGGGGCUAAUACCCUCGAGGAAGGACAUCACCCACAGAAGAAGCACCGGCUAACUCCGUGCCAGCAGCCGCGGUAAUACGGAGGGUGCGAGCGUUAAUCGGAAUUACUGGGCGUAAAGCGCGCGUAGGCGGUCUGAUAAGCCGGUUGUGAAAGCCCCGGGCUCAACCUGGGAACGGCAUCCGGAACUGUCAGGCUAGAGUGCAGGAGAGGAAGGUAGAAUUCCCGGUGUAGCGGUGAAAUGCGUAGAGAUCGGGAGGAAUACCAGUGGCGAAGGCGGUCUUCUGGACUGACACUGACGCUGAGGUGCGAAAGCGUGGGUAGCAAACAGGAUUAGAUACCCCGGUAGUC
This 462-nucleotide ribosomal RNA is filed under the name Vreelandella stevensii. Its description in RNAcentral is "partial 16S ribosomal RNA". It matches the Rfam family "Bacterial small subunit ribosomal RNA", at positions 341 to 795 of the family's 1533-position model. Lineage: Bacteria; Pseudomonadati; Pseudomonadota; Gammaproteobacteria; Oceanospirillales; Halomonadaceae. The record is from RNAcentral.